CAGUCGCCGCGGUAAUACGAGGGGGGCAAGCGUUGUUCGGAAUUAUUGGGCGUAAAGGGUGCGUAGGCGGUUCAGCAAGUCUCGUGUGAAAUCUUCGGGCUCAACCCGAAGUCUGCACGGGAAACUACUGGGCUUGAGUAAUGGAGAGGUGAGUGGAAUUUCCGGUGUAGCGGUGAAAUGCGUAGAUAUCGGAAGGAACACCUGUGGCGAAAGCGGCUCACUGGACAAUAACUGACGCUGAUGCACGAAAGCUAGGGGAGCAAACAGGAUUAGAGACCCCCGUAGUCCCUGUCUCUUAUAC
RNAcentral lists this ribosomal RNA (301 nucleotides) under uncultured bacterium. Its description in RNAcentral is "partial 16S ribosomal RNA". It matches the Rfam family "Bacterial small subunit ribosomal RNA", at positions 509 to 807 of the family's 1533-position model. The record is from RNAcentral.